Molecule: long non-coding RNA, 236 nt
Organism: Nerophis ophidion (straightnose pipefish)
Lineage: Eukaryota; Metazoa; Chordata; Actinopteri; Syngnathiformes; Syngnathidae
Exons: 3
Source: RefSeq, a predicted model, not a curated record
UUUAUUCGGAAGCUUUACUUCAAAGAUGUACUACGUACUCAAUAGAGAGCAUAAAUAUACACCAUAGAAUAAUUUUUCAGCAGCUUGGAUAUCUUCAUUAAAAGGUGAAACUUCACUAUGGAUCAGAAUGGACAUGGAUCCCAACCAAAUGUUAACCAGCAGGUUUCGCUGCCGUCGACUUCCCUGAGACACUGCGCGUCAACACCCGGCCGUGGACGUACACUUCCGACCAUCAG